GAGCCUCUGUUUGAUUCUACUAGCUAGAAAGUCCGGAACCCAGGCGACAACAUUGCAUAUUGAUUUUUAGAGUCGACAACGCUGUAAAAUAGAAACGAAAUUUCUGUGCUACAGUUUUAUGUAGUCCACUAGCUGACUGUUCUAUUUAGGCAGAGGGCGCGAGAAACCUUCCGUUUUUAGCGAUGUCGGUAUUUCAGAACAUGUGACACGGAACCUCAUAUGCUGACCAAUUUACUCUGGUAGUUCGUCUGUGGUAUCACGUUCAACUGCAUUCAACCACAGACUUAGGAUUCGUACAGACAAUGCAUCUUAUGGGCUUUUCUGUCUCAGCUUUGGAAGGCUCGAGAUUAGUAACACAAUUUCUGCUUGGUAACGUGGAACUCCUAGGAUCGAAACUCUGGUACAUUAUUGCAUUAAUGCAAUUUAAAUUGAGCGAACUUGGCUAAACCCGCUGAUACAUAAAUACACGUGGUCGAGUAACGAUUAGUGUUACCGUUAAUUACAUUUAUCUCAACGAUUCUGUAACAAAAUCAUGACCAAAACUAUUUAUCGACUAGAAACAGCCGGGAGGUCGGUUCUUUCCGUGAGUUUGCUAUAGAACCGCCAAAACAAGGAACGAGAAUUUCUGAGAUGUCGGGUGAACCUAUGAGGAUUAUAAAGUGGGAAUUAUUCUGGCCUCUGGAAACUAGCCAUUCGCCUGUGUAGCAGGUAUACCGUGUAUCAUACAUUCAUGAACAUUUCCCGAUUUACUAGGAGGCUUGUAUGCUGAAAUGAGGACCCCGUUCAUCGGUUUUUAUCGGUACUCCGUGAGAAAUUGUAACUCCGUAAAUCUAUUCUGAACGUAGCUGAAAUGUCGUGUUGUUACCCACGUUGGACAUUACACUUCAAAAAUAAUGCAUAGUAAGGGAAUUUUAGAUUUGCAGGGUACAAAAUCGUAACUGCGAAUAUUGCAACAUUGCGGCCGAUACGACGGAAGGUUGAAACCGUCGAAAAGUUGAUGGCGGAGCGAGAGAACGACCGGUUCGAGCGGAAAUCCAGGGCGAAGGUUUCAGGGUUCCGGUUGCGAUGCAGGGUACGGGUCGUCGCCGCGUAUGCGUCCGUAUCGCAGCGAGAUCCGGGCGAAGGAGUAUCAGGAAGAAUGGAAAGGGGAAUGUCGGUCACUGGGCCUUUCCUCGUGAUGACGGUACUCCGUUUAGCGCCUCGGGGCCACCACCUAGGAAUGUUGGAGGAGCACGAGCCUCUCUCUUUCUUACUCUCCUCUCUGGCCGCUGUUUCUUCCCAUCGAUUCUCUAAAUUGGUAGCACUCGCUUCCACGACCUAUCCGGCAAACAUCUCUGCUGAAUUUUUGCGAAAUAAGUCCGACUACACGUACAACCGAACAGGUCGUUAUGUCUGCUGCCCGGGGAAGUAUCGUUUGUUGGACUUAAAGUACUUACCGAGCGACCAAUGCCAUUUGUUUUCAAUUAGAAACACUGCAGGAGCAUGUUUGUCCUUUGACUCGUGUUCCAUGUGCCGGGAACGUAAUCCCAAUGGAAUAAAAUACCUAAAACAGGUGACUUUGGUAAUUCUAAUGUUACGAUUAAAUUGAAUUAGUCUUUUA
This is a non-coding RNA of Megalopta genalis, 1600 nucleotides long. Lineage: Eukaryota; Metazoa; Arthropoda; Insecta; Hymenoptera; Halictidae. The record is from RefSeq and is a predicted model, not a curated record.